Long non-coding RNA from Ipomoea triloba (trilobed morning glory), 576 nucleotides. RefSeq lists it as uncharacterized. The transcript has 2 exons. The record is from RefSeq and is a predicted model, not a curated record. Lineage: Eukaryota; Viridiplantae; Streptophyta; Magnoliopsida; Solanales; Convolvulaceae.
CGAUUUUCACUCCACACGCCCGGUAAAACAGUGGGGCGUCUAUAGUAUUCUCUCGCAAUCCAGUGCGCGUUGGCGACGCCAUUCUGUUCUUCGCAUUUUGUGGUCUUGAUUCUCCCUCAUCAUCUUCCAUCGCAGUAGAGGCAAGUGGCGGGGAACACCUGCUCGUGGUGUCAGCGGAGGUAAGAAGUUAAAAGGUUUCUCAUUCUCAACCUGGUGUCUCGCACAGUUGCAAAAUGGAUGAUGAUUUUGUUUCACCACCUUUGGAGUUCCUUGCAAGACUGCAAGAAGUCCCAGUGUGAAAUGUCCCAAUUUUUUGCUCACAGUUGGCAACUUGAAAGUCCCAGUGUGAAAUGCCAUAAUACUACCGCUCAAACACUUAUUAGGUCUUCACAACUGCGGAUUGUUAGAUCCUAAAUACGAAACAGUUUUGUAAAUGUUUGCUCUUAAGGCUUGUAUUCUAUUUUAAAUUAACAUUUUUACUUGUUUUUCUAGAUGUGCAACAAUCCUAAAUACGAAACAGUUUUGUAAAUGUUUGCUCUUAAAGCUUGUAUUCUAUUUUAAAUUAACAUUUUUACU